RNAcentral lists this transfer RNA (77 nucleotides) under Deltaproteobacteria bacterium. Its description in RNAcentral is "tRNA-Arg". It matches the Rfam family "tRNA". Rfam says of the family: Transfer RNA (tRNA) molecules are approximately 80 nucleotides in length. Their secondary structure includes four short double-helical elements and three loops (D, anti-codon, and T loops). Lineage: Bacteria; Pseudomonadati; Myxococcota; Myxococcia. The record is from RNAcentral.
GCACGGUUAGCUCAGCUGGAUAGAGCGUUGCCCUCCGGAGGCAGAGGUCACAGGUUCGAAUCCUGUACCGUGCACCA